Molecule: transfer RNA, 75 nt
Filed under: archaeon HR06
Lineage: Archaea
Rfam family: tRNA
About the family: Transfer RNA (tRNA) molecules are approximately 80 nucleotides in length. Their secondary structure includes four short double-helical elements and three loops (D, anti-codon, and T loops). Further hydrogen bonds mediate the characteristic L-shaped molecular structure. tRNAs have two regions of fundamental functional importance: the anti-codon, which is responsible for specific mRNA codon recognition, and the 3' end, to which the tRNAs corresponding amino acid is attached (by aminoacyl-tRNA synthetases). tRNAs cope with the degeneracy of the genetic code in two manners: having more than one tRNA (with a specific anti-codon) for a particular amino acid; and 'wobble' base-pairing, i.e. permitting non-standard base-pairing at the 3rd anti-codon position.
Source: Rfam by way of RNAcentral
GGGCCGGUAGCUCAGCUUGGUUAGAGCGUUCGGCUGAUAACCGAAAGGUCACCGGUUCAAAUCCGGUCCGGCCCA